AGGUCUGCAGCAGGCGCGAAACUUACACAAUGCUAGAUUACAAUUAGCGAUGUAGUGAAGAAAAAUAACGAUGUACUUCCAUUUAAACAUGGUAGUACAAUUGGAAUGAGACGACUAUAAAUCAGUUAGUCGAGUAACAAAUGGAGGGCAAGUCUGGUGCCAGCAGCCGCGGUAAUUCCAGCUCCAUUAGCAUACAUUAAAGUUGUUGCGGUUAAAAAGCUCGUAGUUGAAUUUUAGGCGGGCUCUAUUGGGAUGCAAUCGUUAAGGUUCUAUGGUCAAAGGUCCGCCCUUUCUAUUUGAACUGGUUGUCACUUCCCUAUAGGAACCCGCUGUUUCGUCACUUAAUCGAGUGCGAAGCGGGCUGGUACUUAGGUUCUAGCACUUCGGUGCGCCAAGUUUCAGCAAGUUUACCUUGAGAAAAUUAGAGUGCUCACAGCAGGCAGUUGGGGUGUAAAAGCUCCUUUAUGCUUGAAUAAUGUUGCAUGGAAUAAUAGAAUACGGCCUCGGUUCUAUUCUGUUGGUCUUAUAGAACAACAAACAAGUUGAUUAAAGCGACAAAAGCCUAUUUUGAGUGUGACUUCAGAAUGACUCCGUUCUUACGUAGGAUCGAGUUGUGUUACCUAGGGGUAAAACCUUAGAGUCGCGCUCCCCAUCGGGGGUCGGAUUGAUUUCUGUUGUCAUAAAAAGCACUCUUGAUAUGGUAAGCUUUCUAAUCAACUGAGGCAAUGGUUAAAAGAAAUAGUCGCGGCGGCAUCAGUACUGCAUCGUGAGAG
RNAcentral lists this ribosomal RNA (773 nucleotides) under Spinaetergum adinae. RNAcentral's name for it is "partial 18S ribosomal RNA". It matches the Rfam family "Eukaryotic small subunit ribosomal RNA", at positions 419 to 910 of the family's 1831-position model. The record is from RNAcentral. Lineage: Eukaryota; Metazoa; Arthropoda; Arachnida; Trombidiformes; Eriophyidae.